GACGAACGCUGGCGGCGUGCUUAACACAUGCAAGUCGAACGGAAAGGCCCUGCUUUUGUGGGGUGCUCGAGUGGCGAACGGGUGAGUAACACGUGAGUAACCUGCCCUUGACUUUGGGAUAACUUCAGGAAACUGGGGCUAAUACCGGAUAGGAGCUCCUGCUGCAGGGUGGGGGUUGGAAAGUUUCGGCGGUUGGGGAUGGACUCGCGGCUUAUCAGCUUGUUGGUGGGGUAGUGGCUUACCAAGGCUUUGACGGGUAGCCGGCCUGAGAGGGUGACCGGCCACAUUGGGACUGAGAUACGGCCCAGACUCCUACGGGAGGCAGCAGUGGGGAAUAUUGCACAAUGGGCGGAAGCCUGAUGCAGCAACGCCGCGUGCGGGAUGACGGCCUUCGGGUUGUAUACCGCUUUCGCCUGUGACGAAGCGUGAGUGACGGUAAUGGGUAAAGAAGCACCGGCUAACUACGUG
Molecule: ribosomal RNA, 468 nt
Filed under: uncultured bacterium
Lineage: Bacteria
Description: partial 16S ribosomal RNA
Rfam family: Bacterial small subunit ribosomal RNA
Source: RNAcentral